Long non-coding RNA from Cydia pomonella (codling moth), 583 nucleotides. RefSeq lists it as uncharacterized. The record is from RefSeq and is a predicted model, not a curated record. NCBI's taxonomy places the organism in Eukaryota, Metazoa, Arthropoda, Insecta, Lepidoptera, Tortricidae. The transcript is spliced from 2 exons.
CAAAUGGCUCCUUAAGCCAGUUGAGGGUAGAUGAAAACAUUACAUGAUCAAAAGUUGAUUAGUCAGGUCGUUCAGUGACAGAUGCAGGCGGUUUUAUAUUUGAUUGGUUAACCAAUAAAUGUUACAACUACCCAAAAAUGUAUAAACUGUUUGUUUACUUUUAUUUAAAUACCUAAAGAUACAGAGUAUAGUGCCUACACGAAUUCUAGGGAUUCGUUGCCAAGCGGACCCCAGGUCGCGGAGACGUCGCGGGCAGAAGCUAUGUAGGCAAGCACGAUAAUAGAAUUAUAUAAUAAAUAUAGCACUAUUGUACUCGUUCAAGGUAAACGAACCUAGGUUCGAGCAAAGAGAAUUAUUUGACAUAAUAUUCAUAUUUAAGUACUUGACUUUGACAGAAAAGUCAUUGUGUUUUUUAGUGAUUGCUCUCACUUUCAUAACUUUUACAUUUUAUUGGAUUUCAUAAUGGAAUAACUGAAAGUAUGAGUAAACCACCUUAAAAGUAGCAGACCUUAACUGAGAUCAUCAGCCACAUGAAUCCAAAAUGGAACUGAACCCAUGACCCUAACAUCCUCGGCCUAAAAGA